Molecule: ribosomal RNA, 835 nt
Filed under: uncultured archaeon
Lineage: Archaea
Description: bacterial SSU rRNA
Rfam family: Archaeal small subunit ribosomal RNA
Source: RNAcentral
UGAUUAAGCCAUGCAAGUCGAACGAAUUUAGAUUCGUGGCGUACGGCUCAGUAACACGUGGAUAACCUACCCUUAGGACUGGGAUAACCCUGGGAAACUGGGGCUAAUACCGGAUAGAUGAUUUUUCCUGUAAUGGUUUUUUGUUUAAAUGUUUUUUCGCCUAAGGAUGGGUCUGCGGCAGAUUAGGUAGUUGGUUAGGUAAUGGCUUACCAAGCCUAUGAUCUGUACGGGUUGUGAGAGCAAGAGCCCGGAGAUGGAACCUGAGACAAGGUUCCAGGCCCUACGGGGUGCAGCAGGUGCGAAACCUCCGCAAUGUGAGAAAUCGCGACGGGGGGAUCCCAAGUGCCAUUCUUAACGGGAUGGCUUUUCUUAAGUGUAAAAAGCUUUUGGAAUAAGAGCUGGGCAAGACCGGUGCCAGCCGCCGCGGUAACACCGGCAGCUCUAGUGGUAGCUGUUUUUAUUGGGCCUAAAGCGUUCGUAGCCGGUUUAAUAAGUCACUGGUGAAAUCCUGUAGCUUAACUGUGGGGAUUGCUGGUGAUACUGUUGAACUUGAGGUCGGGAGAGGUUAGCGGUACUCCCAGGGUAGAGGUGAAAUUCUGUAAUCCUGGGAGGACCACCUGUGGCGAAGGCGGCUAACUGGAACGAACCUGACGGUGAGGGACGAAAGCUAGGGGCGCGAACCGGAUUAGAUACCCGGGUAGUCCUAGCCGUAAACGAUGCGGACUUGGUGUUGGGGUGGCUUUGAGCCGUUUUGGUGCCGAAGGGAAGCUGUUAAGUCCGCCGCCUGGGAAGUACGGUCGCAAGACUGAAACUUAAAGGAAUUGGCGGGGGAGCA